GCCCCGUUAGCUCAGUCGGUCAGAGCAGUCGACUCAUAAUCGAUCGGUCGCCGGUUCAAGUCCGGCACGGGGCACCA
This 77-nucleotide transfer RNA is filed under the name Isoptericola sp. b515. Its description in RNAcentral is "tRNA-Ile". It matches the Rfam family "tRNA". From Rfam's summary of the family: Transfer RNA (tRNA) molecules are approximately 80 nucleotides in length. RNAcentral also lists the same sequence under 1 other name. The record is from RNAcentral. Lineage: Bacteria; Bacillati; Actinomycetota; Actinomycetes; Micrococcales; Promicromonosporaceae.